CAAGGCGCUUGAGAGAACUCGGGUGAAGGAACUAGGCAAAAUGGCACCGUAACUUCGGGAGAAGGUGCGCCGGCUAGGGUGAAGGAUUUACUCCGUAAGCUCUGGCUGGUCGAAGAUACCAGGCCGCUGCGACUGUUUAUUAAAAACACAGCACUCUGCAAACACGAAAGUGGACGUAUAGGGUGUGACGCCUGCCCGGUGCCGGAAGGUUAAUUGAUGGGGUUAGCGCAAGCGAAGCUCUUGAUCGAAGCCCCGGUAAACGGCGGCCGUAACUAUAACGGUCCUAAGGUAGCGAAAUUCCUUGUCGGGUAAGUUCCGACCUGCACGAAUGGCGUAACGAUGGCGGCGCUGUCUCCACCCGAGACUCAGUGAAAUUGAAAUCGCUGUGAAGAUGCAGUGUAUCCGCGGCUAGACGGAAAGACCCCGUGAACCUUUACUGUAGCUUUGCACUGGACUUUGAGCCUGCUUGUGUAGGAUAGGUGGGAGGCUUUGAAGCGUGGACGCCAGUUCGCGUGGAGCCAUCCUUGAAAUACCACCCUGGCAUGCUUGAGGUUCUAACUCUGGUCCGUAAUCCGGAUCGAGGACAGUGUAUGGUGGGCAGUUUGACUGGGGCGGUCUCCUCCUAAAGAGUAACGGAGGAGUACGAAGGUGCGCUCAGACCGGUCGGAAAUCGGUCGUAGAGUAUAAAGGCAAAAGCGCGCUUGACUGCGAGACAGACACGUCGAGCAGGUACGAAAGUAGGUCUUAGUGAUCCGGUGGUUCUGUAUGGAAGGGCCAUCGCUCAACGGAUAAAAGGUACUCCGGGGAUAACAGGCUGAUACCGCCCAAGAGUUCAUAUCGACGGCGGUGUUUGGCACCUCGAUGUCGGCUCAUCACAUCCUGGGGCUGAAGCCGGUCCCAAGGGUAUGGCUGUUCGCCAUUUAAAGUGGUACGCGAGCUGGGUUUAGAACGUCGUGAGACAGUUCGGUCCCUAUCUGCCGUGGACGUUUGAGAUUUGAGAGGGGCUGCUCCUAGUACGAGAGGACCGGAGUGGACGAACCUCUGGUGUUCCGGUUGUCACGCCAGUGGCAUUGCCGGGUAGCUAUGUUCGGAAAAGAUAACCGCUGAAAGCAUCUAAGCGGGAAACUUGCCUCAAGAUGAGAUCUCACUGGGAACUUGAUUCCCCUGAAGGGCCGUCGAAGACUACGACGUUGAUAGGCUGGGUGUGUAAGCGUUGUGAGGCGUUGAGCUAACCAGUACUAAUUGCCCGUGAGGCUUGACCAU
This 1263-nucleotide ribosomal RNA is filed under the name Pseudomonas aeruginosa BL01. Its description in RNAcentral is "bacterial LSU rRNA". It matches the Rfam family "Bacterial large subunit ribosomal RNA", at positions 1682 to 2925 of the family's 2925-position model. Lineage: Bacteria; Pseudomonadati; Pseudomonadota; Gammaproteobacteria; Pseudomonadales; Pseudomonadaceae. The record is from RNAcentral.